Molecule: small nucleolar RNA, 106 nt
Filed under: Cephalotus follicularis
Lineage: Eukaryota; Viridiplantae; Streptophyta; Magnoliopsida; Oxalidales; Cephalotaceae
Description: Plant small nucleolar RNA R71
Rfam family: Plant small nucleolar RNA R71
About the family: R71 is a member of the C/D box family of snoRNAs containing the C (UGAUGA) and D (CUGA) box motifs.
Source: Rfam by way of RNAcentral
AAACCAUGAUGAGGACACUCUAAAGAAGGUCUUUCAAACGUUCCAUGCAUCGAGAGAACGAUUCAUUUGGUUGCUGACGAAACUGGAGAAUGUUGUUCCUAAGCUU